This 253-nucleotide ribosomal RNA is filed under the name uncultured prokaryote. RNAcentral describes it as "partial 16S ribosomal RNA". It matches the Rfam family "Bacterial small subunit ribosomal RNA", at positions 524 to 776 of the family's 1533-position model. The record is from RNAcentral.
UACGGAGGAUCCAAGCGUUAUCCGGAUUCAUUGGGUUUAAAGGGUGCGUAGGCGGAAUAGUAAGUCAGUGGUGAAAGCCUACAGCUUAACUGUAGAAUUGCCAUUGAUACUGCUAAUCUUGAGUACAGAUGAAGUGGGCGGAAUGUGUCAUGUAGCGGUGAAAUGCUUAGAUAUGACACAGAACACCGAUUGCGAAGGCAGCUCACUAAACUGUAACUGACGCUGAGGCACGAAAGCGUGGGGAUCAAACAGG